Molecule: non-coding RNA, 69 nt
Organism: Rattus norvegicus (Norway rat)
Lineage: Eukaryota; Metazoa; Chordata; Mammalia; Rodentia; Muridae
Source: Rfam
GGGGAUUUAGCUCAGUGGUAGAGUGCUCGCCUACCAAGCGCAAGGCCCUGGGUUCGGUCCCCAGCUCCG